Molecule: ribosomal RNA, 405 nt
Filed under: Acanthamoeba genotype T4
Lineage: Eukaryota; Discosea; Longamoebia; Acanthamoebidae
Description: SSU rRNA
Rfam family: Eukaryotic small subunit ribosomal RNA
Source: RNAcentral
GCCCAGAUCGUUUACCGUGAAAAAAUUAGAGUGUUCAAAGCAGGCAGAUCCAAUUUUCUGCCACCGAAUACAUUAGCAUGGGAUAAUGGAAUAGGACCCUGUCCUCCUAUUUUCAGUUGGUUUUGGCAGCGCGAGGACUAGGGUAAUGAUUAAUAGGGAUAGUUGGGGGCAUUAAUAUUUAAUUGUCAGAGGUGAAAUUCUUGGAUUUAUGAAAGAUUAACUUCUGCGAAAGCAUCUGCCAAGGAUGUUUUCAUUAAUCAAGAACGAAAGUUAGGGGAUCGAAGACGAUCAGAUACCGUCGUAGUCUUAACCAUAAACGAUGCCGACCAGCGUUUAGGAGACGUUGUAUACCAGACACCAUCAUCGGUGCGGUCGUCCUGUCGUUGAUCUUGAGUGGCCCAGUUC